UAGGGAAUCUUCCACAAUGGACGCAAGUCUGAUGGAGCAACGCCGCGUGAGUGAAGAAGGCUUUCGGGUCGUAAAACUCUGUUAUUGAAGAAGAACGUGUGUGACAGUAACUGGUCAUGCAGUGACGGUAUUCAAUCAGAAAGUCACGGCUAACUACGUGCCAGCAGCCGCGGUAAUACGUAGGUGGCAAGCGUUGUCCGGAUUUAUUGGGCGUAAAGCGAGUGCAGGCGGUCUUUUAAGUCUGAUGUGAAAGCCUUCGCUUAACCGAAGAAGGGCAUCGGAAACUGGGAGACUUGAGUGCAGAAGAGGAGAGUGGAACUCCAUGUGUAGCGGUGAAAUGCGUAGAUAUAUGGAAGAACACCAGUGGCGAAGGCGGCUCUCUGGUCUGUAACUGACGCUGAGGCUCGAAAGCGUGGGUAGCAAACAGGAUUAGAUACCCUGGUAGUCCAC
This 450-nucleotide ribosomal RNA is filed under the name uncultured bacterium. RNAcentral describes it as "partial 16S ribosomal RNA". It matches the Rfam family "Bacterial small subunit ribosomal RNA", at positions 355 to 798 of the family's 1533-position model. The record is from RNAcentral.